Molecule: ribosomal RNA, 403 nt
Filed under: uncultured Symbiodinium
Lineage: Eukaryota; Dinophyceae; Suessiales; Symbiodiniaceae
Description: partial Bacterial large subunit ribosomal RNA
Rfam family: Bacterial large subunit ribosomal RNA
Source: RNAcentral
UAGUGACCGAUAGUGAACCAGUACCGUGAGGGAAAGGUGAAAAGCACCCCGGGAGGGGAGUGAAAUAGAACCUGAAACCGUGUGCUUACAAGUAGUCAGAGCCCGUUAAUGGGUGAUGGCGUGCCUUUUGUAGAAUGAACCGGCGAGUUGCGAUUUCAUGCAAGGUUAAGCAGAGGAUGCGGAGCCGUAGCGAAAGCGAGUCUGAAUAGGGCGUUUAGUAUGGGGUUGCAGACCCGAAACCAGGUGAUCUACCCAUGUCCAGGCUGAAGUCCAGGUAACACUGGAUGGAGGGCCGAACCGACUUACGUUAAAAAGUGACCGGAUGAGGUGUGGGUAGCGGAGAAAUUCCAAUCGAACCUGGAGAUAGCUGGUUCUCUCCGAAAUAGCUUUAGGGCUAGCGUCG